This 987-nucleotide ribosomal RNA is filed under the name Smeringopus natalensis. Its description in RNAcentral is "eukaryotic LSU rRNA". It matches the Rfam family "Eukaryotic large subunit ribosomal RNA", at positions 84 to 792 of the family's 3401-position model. Lineage: Eukaryota; Metazoa; Arthropoda; Arachnida; Araneae; Pholcidae. The record is from RNAcentral.
UAACGGCGAGCGAAGAGGGAGGAGUCCAGCGCCGAAUCUCACGUCCCUAGCGGGCGAUCGAGAAAUGUGGCGUUUAGGAGGGAGCGCGCCCGUGGUGGCACCGAACAGCAAGUCCCCCUGACUGGGGCUCUUACCCGGAGCGGGUGCGAGGCCCAUAGCUGUCGUGUGCUCCGCGGGACGCGACCUCUUGGGAGUCGGGUUGCUUGGGAGUGCAGCCCUAAGAGGGUGGUAAACUCCACCUAAGACUAAAUACGGCCGCGAGACCGAUAGCAAACAAGUACCGUGAGGGAAAGUUGCAAAGAACUUUGAAGAGAGAGUUCAAGAGUACGUGAAACUGCUCAGAGGUAAACGGGUGGGCCCUCGAAAUCCCCUUGCGGGGGGAUUCAGUCGGGAGGGCGCGGGAUGGCCACAGUCGCCGGUUCGGACGCCGUAGCAGCGUCGGGCCGCGGCCAGAGUCUCGCGUCCCGCCCGACGCACUUCCCCCCGCACUGCGGACGCCGCAGCCCGUUGGGGACCGGCCAUGAGGACGUGCACCGGCAGGUGGCGGGAGGCCUCUCCUCGAGAGUUGGCCACCCGUUGAUAGCCUGCGCGUCUCGGGCGCGGUACCCGACGGAGGUCGAAGUUCCCCAGUUCCGGGGAACGAGCCGUCCCCUCCUAGUCGAGCGAGCACCGUCUCAGGUGUCGGGCGCCGUAGCUUAGACCGCCGACUCACCCCUCCGUGGUGACCGGCGGUGCGCACGCACCGUUGUAGUGACGGGCGUCUCGCCGAGGGACAGCCGACGGCUGGCGGCGAGUAGGUCGGUAACCCACCCGACCCGUCUUGAAACACGGACCAAGGAGUCUAACAUGUGCGCGAGUCAGUGGGUCUUGAUCAGGCCCACGGGCGGAAUGAAAGUGAAGGUCGACCGUAGUCGUCGUCCGCGUUGGGAUCCCGUCCUUCGGGGCGGGCGCWCCWWCGGCCCGUCCGGUCCUGAUAUUAUCGGUCGG